RNAcentral lists this long non-coding RNA (3536 nucleotides) under Xyrichtys novacula (pearly razorfish). Lineage: Eukaryota; Metazoa; Chordata; Actinopteri; Labriformes; Labridae. The record is from RNAcentral.
UUUCCUUCCUACCUCCCACAUCUAUCUGUCAUCUUCUAAAUUUUUUCACUUAGUCUGUCACUGAAACACUUCUCUUCAUCUUUGAGUGAAGUCAGUAGAUCAAUAAGUGUAAUGUCAGGGAUGAUGACUAUCACAGGCUGUCAGAAGAAGAGCACAAACACAGCAGAGGGACACUCUGUUCUGAAAAACUGGUUUUACAUCAUUUUUUAUGGUGCAGUACCACCAGUUUAGCAGCUACUGCAGAGAGAAACCAUCUGCCCAGCACCACCCUCAACAUCCUUUACCUCCCAAACUACCCCCGGGGGACAACACCCCGAUUACCCCAUCUUAGAUAGUCGAUGUCCAAGCACAUAACCCGGUGCAUAAGCGGAUUUUAUUAUGCAAAAUAUUCUUUUUAUGAUUUUGCAUAUCUGCAGGUUUGACAGAGGGACUGUUUCAGGUGAAGUUGGUGACAUGAGGGUUGUUAUUAUCCAGCGUCCUCCCAAGUGUAAAGAAGCAUUUGCAUAGUAAAGUAUUUAGUCUUUGGUUUCCUUGUUGAAUAUCUGAGGAGGAUUUACAUACCAAUUCAUGCAGGACUUCCUCUGUGUGUGUGUUUCCUGUUGUAUCGUGUAUACAGUGUGUGGACUCUGCUGCUGAAAUGAACAAACCAGUGAUGCUUCGAAUGCAACUCCAAAGCCACUGAGAAAUGUGGUAACACCACUAAACCUGGAAAACCUUCAGUGAGCAAGGUGACGCCUCACAUCAUACAACAGCUGCUGCUUAGAGCUCCACUUGACCUCCUCAACAAAAAAACAAGAUCCGCUGCAAUUUGCAUACCAUACAAAAGUAUGCAAACUGGAUCUGCUGCACAGAGCUUAGUGCUGUAACCUGGUCCAGGAGAGUGGUGGUGGUGGUGGUGGUGGUGGUGCACUAUAACAGCUCAGGUUUUAGCAAGUAUCUGUCUCCUAUCAUGUCGAAACACCUCAUUACACCUGAUAUGAGCCCAACAAGUUUGAUACAUAAAUCUCGCGUCCUGAAAAGGCUUUAAUGUGAGUUUCACAAAUGUCCAAAAACUCCUCACAAGAGCUUUACGUUAUGUUGCCUCCAGCCACUGCAGGGACCAGACACACGUCUUACAAAAUGUCCAUUUCCCAUGAGACAGUAAGGCACUUGAAGCCAGAUAUAAACAUAAAAAAUAAGAUAAAUAAAUGAAAUGUCUUCUCUCUCAGGCUGCACUCAGUUCAUACAAUUCAAAACCUUCCACGGUAUUCCACAGGGUUCUGUCCUCAGGCCUCUUCUGUUUAUCAUCUACUUUGGCCAUAUUUUCCCUAAAUUUAACACCCUUUUUCACUUCUAUGCGGAUGACACUCAGCUCGUCUUGUCCGCCAAAACUACCUCAUCCUUUCACCAACAAGUUUCCCGUAAAUAUGGCAAUAAUAUCAUUAUUUCAUUUUCACAACCCUGGUAUUUGUGAGGUGAAAAUCUGAUAUUCUGACAGCCCUAAUAUAUAUGUAUGCUUAUUUUGUUUUACGCCUCCUUGGGUGACCUUAUGUCACAGUCAGUCAAGAAGAACAGGCGUAGCUAACAGCAAAGUUUUCUUCAGCAUCAGAGAUGAGUAAGAAUGAACUGUGAAUAGCAGACAGUUUCAGCAGUUUAACUGAAGGGACUGGAUUUAACCUCUUGAUAACUCACAGGUAUGUUUCUCAGUAGAAUAUCCUCAGAAGGGUCACUUCUAAUCCCCUCUUAGAAAAAUAUCACCUGACAAGCAGACACGCUGCCUUUUACAUGUCAUCAACAUAUCUCAGCUAUUUGUUUCAAAGAGCACAUGCAGACUGACUUACUUAACUUCCCCCUCCCACUGCUUCUCCAGACCACAGGUACAGAAUCUGUUCCAAACAAACAAAACAACCUGACUUUUCCUGUAACACCAGUAACACCUGAACAGUAGCACCUUUUUUUGGGUUGUAGAGUUAGACGUUUAACAAAGAAAACUUUAAACAUGUCUAUAAUUUUUCCUUGAUUAUGCUAUUUUUUAAUAAAACAAGAAAACUAAUACUGGGAAAAACCCACAGGAGUCAGCAUCAGGUUACUUUAUUUGUACCCAUAACUCAAACCACGACUUAGAAUACAAAACUCGGGCGACCAUAUGUCCCCUUUUACCGGGACAUGUCCUCUUUUGCGGGCUGUUUGGCCUGUCUGGGGGGAGUUUAUAAAACCCUUCAAAUGUCCGGGAUUUUGUAUGAAAACAAAACAAGCCCCUGGGGGAGGUUUUUCUAAAGCUAUGGAGGGUCCAGAAAAGAUAAAAGUGGAAAUGCGGGAGAAUGCUGGUAAAGGGGGGCCUGUUGAUGGACUGGUUGGUCCAAAUUUUAGAUGAAUGAGAGCCGUUUUGGCCCAGCCAUGAGUGCUGCGAUAGCUCUAAUUCUGAUUUCCUUUCUCACAUGUUGCAUCGUACACAUCCUUUGGAGACAAUGUUGGAAGCUGACGGAGGAGAUGGGACUUAUGGUGGACCUAACACCGGCCCAUGAGCUACAGGAAAUGCCACAAACAAAAACAGCUGGCACAGUGUGUGAUUAAUCAAGGAGGGACUGAGGGACCUGAAAGGUUCCUGGACUUUGAAGGAGACGAAGAUGAGCAAUGGACUUUAAGCAACACAAACAACAUAUCCAGUGAGCUGGGAUAUUGAACUGAACAUGUUUCAUUCGCAGAGUUAAAGGACUACACUAAUCACACAUUGAUCAUGGAGUUCAUCACAUACUAAUCAAGGGGUUUGUCGCAGGUUGCUACAAUGUAAUGUAAUGAUAUUAUCAGAAGUUGACACUUUUUCUAUGCAAAUGAAAUUAUGUCGGCGCAUCCAGGAAAUGGAUGGUCGCCAGGGGGCGGGGCCGUAACAUUCUUUCCCUGAAAUUGAACAUCGAAGUGAGAUAUUAUUCAACCCAAUGAACAUUGAUUAUUACAUUUCUUGAGAAUUGAUAUCACAAUUUUAUAACUUUUGCAUAAUUGGGGGAAUUAUAUCACGAUUCGAUAAGGUUGCAUAAUUCAUAUAACUGGUUAAUGCAUUUUGAUUUUUGUUUCAUGCCAUAUAUUAUUAAGUCUUAGAUGCAGAAAAUCACACACAUAGCUGUGUGUUUUAUUUUAAUCACUUAAGGAUGUUUAGUGUUUGAUAUGAUGAUCAGGGUUUUAUGAAAGAAAGAACUUUCAAAGGGGGGACUGUGUAGGAGAAUCUCUUCAUACAUUUAGGUUAAGAAAUAUAGAGUAAUUAUCUUUUAGUAAGGAGCUACAAAUAAUCUAAGUUGGCCUGCUCAUGCAGCCUCAUGACCCUGAGGUUGUAAGCAAGGCUGUCUUGCAGGAGCCCAAACUAUCUGUCUGUUGGAACAUUUAAUCUCUGCGAGAGUUAAGACUAGUCUAAACAAAGUGUUGAGGGUCAGAACAGUACGACAUGUCAUCAUGGAGAAUUGAUAUGACAUACCCAUGAUGACACACCCUCACACACCUGUGGGCAUAAAAGAGAGUAGAAGAAAAGCUAGGGAGGCUUCCUUCGGUCUUGGUCGAGACUCUGU